UUGAUAGUACCUUACUACUUGGAUAACCCGUGGUAAUUCUAGAGCUAAUACAUGCUAAAACCCCGACUUCGGGAGGGGUGUAUUUAUUAGAUAAAAAAACAAUGCCCUUCGGGGCUCCUUGGUGAUUCAUGAUAACUUCUCAGAUCGCAUGGCUUUACGCCGGCGACGGUUCAUUCAAAUUUCUGCCCUAUCAACUUUCGAUGGUAAGGUAGUGGCUUACCAUGGUUUCAACGGGUAACGGGGAAUUAGGGUUCGAUUCCGGAGAGGGAGCCUGAGAAACGGCUACCACAUCCAAGGAAGGCAGCAGGCGCGCAAAUUACCCAAUUCCGAUACGGAGAGGUAGUGACAAUAAAUACUGAUACAGGGCUCUUUAGGGUCUUGUAAUUGGAAUGAGUACAAUUUAAACCUCUUAACGAGGAACAAUUGGAGGGCAAGUCUGGUGCCAGCAGCCGCGGUAAUUCCAGCUCCAAUAGCGUAUAUUAAAGUUGUUGCAGUUAAAAAGCUCGUAGUUGAACCUUUGGCCUGGCUGGCAGGUCCGCCUCACCGCGUGCACUUGUCCGGCCGGGCCUUUUCUUCUGGAGAACCGCAUGCCCUUCACUGGGUGUGUUGGGGACCAGGACUUUUACUUUGAAAAAAUUAGAGUGUUCAAAGCAGGCCUUUGCUCGAAUACGUUAGCAUGGAAUAAUAGAAUAGGACGUGCGGUCCUAUUUUGUUGGUUUCUAGGACCGCCGUAAUGAUUAAUAGGGACAGUCGGGGGCAUCAGUAUUCAAUUGUCAGAGGUGAAAUUCUUGGAUUUAUUGAAGACUAACUACUGCGAAAGCAUUUGCCAAGGAUGUUUUCAUUAAUCAGUGAACGAAAGUUAGGGGAUCGAAGACGAUCAGAUACCGUCGUAGUCUUAACCAUAAACUAUGCCGACUAGGGAUCGG
RNAcentral lists this ribosomal RNA (926 nucleotides) under Pseudopithomyces entadae. RNAcentral's name for it is "SSU rRNA". It matches the Rfam family "Eukaryotic small subunit ribosomal RNA", at positions 121 to 1056 of the family's 1831-position model. Lineage: Eukaryota; Fungi; Ascomycota; Dothideomycetes; Pleosporales; Didymosphaeriaceae. The record is from RNAcentral.